UUUUUUUUUUUUUUUCCAAAGAGAAUAAUAUUAUUAAAGACAAAGGCCAGAGCAUGGAAAUGUUUACAUAAAAAACCUGAGCAUUAAACAACCACUUCGGUUCUAAAAAAUCUCACAUAUGAUAACCCUCUAGCUGCAUGACAUAACUUGCCACCAAAUGCACAGCCCCAUUACAGGAUCGAGGAAUAAAAAGAAACUCAAUUGAACUCAAUUGUUGCUUUAGAUGAUGAAUAUCCCAAAUGACAGCCUCCAUAGAUGCCUCCAGUUGUAAUACACCCGUUAACAUGUCCACCAAAACCUUAGAAUCUGUCUCAAGUUGGAUUAAGCCAUAGCCUUUUUCCACAAAGCCAUAGCCUUUUUCCACACACGCCGACAAACCUGCACGCACUGCUUCUGCUUCCGCCAUCAAACUAAACUCACAAAACACCUUCCCCACUCCACCGGCUCUUUUAAAAAUCCCAGCAAAAUCUCUAGUAACCCAUCCACAACCUCCCCUUCCCGUUUGCUUACACCAAGUGACCAAGCACCAUCAAAAUUCACUUUAAUUGUCUGAAAAGGAGGCUUCACCCAUGCCCCCCGAGUCCCCUCACCCCCUCACCCCCAACCUGACGUGA
Molecule: long non-coding RNA, 614 nt
Filed under: Malus domestica (apple)
Lineage: Eukaryota; Viridiplantae; Streptophyta; Magnoliopsida; Rosales; Rosaceae
Description: long non-coding RNA (MDOM_LNC006903)
Source: RNAcentral